This 2874-nucleotide ribosomal RNA is filed under the name Stenotrophomonas maltophilia group sp. msm1. RNAcentral describes it as "23S ribosomal RNA". It matches the Rfam family "Bacterial large subunit ribosomal RNA". The record is from RNAcentral. Lineage: Bacteria; Pseudomonadati; Pseudomonadota; Gammaproteobacteria; Lysobacterales; Lysobacteraceae.
GGUCAAGCGAAUAAGCGCACACGGUGGAUGCCUUGGCGGUCAGAGGCGAUGAAGGACGUGGCAGCCUGCGAAAAGUAUCGGGGAGCUGGCAACAAGCUUUGAUCCGGUAAUGUCCGAAUGGGGAAACCCACCCGCUUGCGGGUAUCCUGCAGUGAAUACAUAGCUGCUGGAAGCGAACCUGGUGAACUGAAAUAUCUAAGUAACCAGAGGAAAAGAAAUCAACCGAGAUUCCGUAAGUAGCGACGAGCGAACGCGGACUAGCCCUUAAGCUGGAUUGGUUCUAGGAAAACGCUCUGGAAAGAGCGGCCAUAGAAGGUGAUAGCCCUGUAUCUGAAAGGGCCAUUCCAGUGAAGACGAGUAGGGCGGGGCACGUGAAACCCUGUCUGAACAUGGGGGGACCAUCCUCCAAGGCUAAAUACUACUGACCGACCGAUAGUGAACCAGUACCGUGAGGGAAAGGCGAAAAGAACCCCGGAGAGGGGAGUGAAAUAGAACCUGAAACCGUGUGCGUACAAGCAGUAGGAGCUCCGCAAGGAGUGACUGCGUACCUUUUGUAUAAUGGGUCAGCGACUUACUGUUCGUGGCAAGCUUAACCGUAUAGGGGAGGCGAAGGGAAACCGAGUCUGAUAAGGGCAUAGUCGCGGGCAGUAGACCCGAAACCGGGUGAUCUAGUCAUGCCCAGGGUGAAGGUGCGGUAACACGCACUGGAGGCCCGAACCCACUCCCGUUGCAAAGGUAGGGGAUGAGGUGUGAUUAGGAGUGAAAAGCUAAUCGAACCCGGAGAUAGCUGGUUCUCCUCGAAAGCUAUUUAGGUAGCGCCUCAUAUGUAUCCUCUCGGGGGUAGAGCACUGUUAUGGCUAGGGGGUCAUCGCGACUUACCAAACCAUUGCAAACUCCGAAUACCGAGACGGACUGUAUGGGAGACACACGGCGGGUGCUAACGUCCGUCGUGAAAAGGGAAACAACCCAGACCCACAGCUAAGGUCCCAAAUUUUGUGCUAAGUGGAAAACCAUGUGGAAAGGCACAGACAGCCAGGAGGUUGGCUUAGAAGCAGCCACCCUUUAAAGAAAGCGUAAUAGCUCACUGGUCGAGUCGGUCUGCGGGGAAGAUUUAACGGGGCUAAGCACAGAACCGAAGCUUGGGGUGCAUACUUUGUAUGCGCGGUAGAGGAGCGUUCCGUAAGCCGUUGAAGGUGGAUUGAGAAGUCUGCUGGAGGUAUCGGAAGUGCGAAUGCUGACAUGAGUAACGAUAAUGCGGGUGAAAAACCCGCACGCCGAAAGCCCAAGGUUUCCUUGCGCAACGUUAAUCGGCGCAGGGUGAGUCGGCCCCUAAGGCGAGGACGAAAGUCGUAGUCGAUGGGAAGCAGGUUAAUAUUCCUGCACCUCGCGUAAGUGCGAUGGAGGGACGGAGAAGGUUAGGUGUACCAGGCGUUGGUUGUCCUGGGGAAAGGCGGUAGGUUUGGAUCUUUGGCAAAUCCGGGAUCCUCUAAGACCGAGCACCGAGACGAGCCUUUAUGGCGAAGUCACUGAUACCACGCUUCCAGGAAAAGCUCCUAAGCUUCAGCUUACGCAGACCGUACCGUAAACCGACACAGGUGGGUAGGAUGAGAAUUCUCAGGCGCUUGAGAGAACUCGGGUGAAGGAACUAGGCAACAUGGCACCGUAACUUCGGGAGAAGGUGCACCCUUUUUGGUGGCUCGUGCGAGCUAUAGCUGAAGAGGGUCGCAGUAACCAGGCCGCUGCGACUGUUUAUCAAAAACAGCACUCUGCAAACACGAAAGUGGACGUAUAGGGUGUGACGCCUGCCCGGUGCUGGAAGGUUAAUUGAUGGGGUCAGCCGCAAGGCGAAGCUCUUGAUCGAAGCCCCAGUAAACGGCGGCCGUAACUAUAACGGUCCUAAGGUAGCGAAAUUCCUUGUCGGGUAAGUUCCGACCUGCACGAAUGGCGUAACGACAGCGGCGCUGUCUCCACCCGAGACUCAGUGAAAUUGAAAUCGCUGUGAAGAUGCAGCGUUCCCGUGGCAAGACGGAAAGACCCCGUGAACCUUUACUAUAGCUUUACACUGAACGUUGAGUUCGUCUGUGUAGGAUAGGUGGGAGGCUAUGAAACUGUGGCGCCAGCUGCAGUGGAGCCAUCCUUGAAAUACCACCCUGUCGUGCUUGACGUUCUAACCUGGGCCCAUUAUCUGGGUCGGGGACCGUGUAUGGUGGGUAGUUUGACUGGGGCGGUCUCCUCCUAAAGAGUAACGGAGGAGCUCGAAGGUACGCUCAGCGCGGUCGGACAUCGCGCACUGUGUGCAAAGGCAUAAGCGUGCUUGACUGCAAGAUCGACGGAUCAAGCAGGUAGGAAACUAGGACUUAGUGAUCCGGUGGUUCUGUAUGGAAGGGCCAUCGCUCAACGGAUAAAAGGUACUCCGGGGAUAACAGGCUGAUACCGCCCAAGAGUUCAUAUCGACGGCGGUGUUUGGCACCUCGAUGUCGGCUCAUCACAUCCUGGGGCUGUAGUCGGUCCCAAGGGUAUGGCUGUUCGCCAUUUAAAGUGGUACGCGAGCUGGGUUCAGAACGUCGUGAGACAGUUCGGUCCCUAUCUGCCAUGGGCGUUGGAGAUUUGAGAGGGGCUGCUCCUAGUACGAGAGGACCGGAGUGGACGAACCUCUGGUGUUCCGGUUGUCACGCCAGUGGCAUUGCCGGGUAGCUAUGUUCGGAAGCGAUAACCGCUGAAAGCAUCUAAGCGGGAAGCGCGCCUCAAGAUGAGAUCUCCCGGGGCACAAGCCCCCUGAAGGAACCAUGUAGACUACGUGGUUGAUAGGUCAGGUGUGUAAGUACAGCAAUGUAUUGAGCUAACUGAUACUAAUGAUCCGUGCGGCUUGACCAU